AGAACCGUAAUAGUUCUCCCAAUAUAACAAAUAUGAUUUGGGUAGAUAUGUGUGUGUGUGUGUGUGUGUGUGUCCAUUCAUAUCACACACACAUAUACACUCACACAAACACAUAUAUAC
MicroRNA precursor from Erinaceus europaeus (western European hedgehog), 120 nucleotides. The record is from Ensembl. NCBI's taxonomy places the organism in Eukaryota, Metazoa, Chordata, Mammalia, Eulipotyphla, Erinaceidae.